Vigna radiata var. radiata (mung bean) is the source of this 3690-nucleotide long non-coding RNA. RefSeq lists it as uncharacterized. The transcript is spliced from 3 exons. Lineage: Eukaryota; Viridiplantae; Streptophyta; Magnoliopsida; Fabales; Fabaceae. The record is from RefSeq and is a predicted model, not a curated record.
GUUUCGGUGGCUCCGGCCUUGAUCGUGGUUUUUCUGCGGUGGAUAUUCUUGAUGGUCACUUGUCGAAAGACUCAACGUAGUAAUUCUCGCGAGAUUCGUCGUGUUACGUUGGCUUUGUGCCUUCAGAAUUACCGAAGAUCGUUCCACUUCUCCUGAAUCGGAAUUAUGUCGAAUUCGUGGCUGGUCAGAUAUCGGUCGCGGAACCAACCUACAAGAUGUCGGGAUUUUCCAUCCGAUUCGUGAUUACAUGGAUCUUCUACAACCACUAAGAGGUAUAUUAAUAAAGGAUUUGGUGGAUUCGGAGAUUUUUUGUAAAAGAUCCCGUCACUGAGUGCUCUGGCUUAAGGUAUUUUGAUUGGGUUGAUUCUUGAUGGGGCUAAUACCGGAACAGGUUGUAUUGGUAAGAUUGUUUAGGUAUUUUAUGUGGUUAUUGGAUCUGGUUGAUAUAAGUCAUUGUUCUUGUUAAUGGACCUUUGCCAUGUCAGGUGCGCUUGCAUGGCAGGUCCGAAAAGCGUUAAUAAAAUGGUUAUUUUUUUGUUUGGGGGAGGGUAGGAGUCGGGGCUUUUAUUUUAGUUUUUUCCCCGAUUCUUUUCCCUCUCCCCGUGGUGUCGUGUUUUCCCCUUUCCCUUUCUCUUCCUUAGUCUCUCUUCUCUGCCCUCUGAAUUCUUUAUAUAUUCUGGUUCGUUCACUGCGUAUCGGCUCAACAAAACGACAAAACGAUUGGCUACUCGGCAAGGUACAUAGUGCUGAAUGCACACUUUAAUUCAUUUUAAUUUCGUUGUUUAUGAAUUUACUCUUCGAGUUUGCAAUAUAUAAUUAACACUAUUCCAUGCAUCUAAAUCAAUUAAUAGGGCGGUUUUAUUGAAUCUUAAUUAACAUUUAAGUCAUUGCUUCAAUUUAUGCAUACUUUAACUUUUUCUUGACCCUAUGUUUUAUGAUUUCGCAAAUAAGUUUAAGCAUCAAUAGAAUUGAUCUGAAGGGGGUUUCCAAUAAAUUAAUGACUAAGGAAUUUAUAAACUUCAUCGAAGGAGAUUUGAACAAUGUAAAUUGCACCUUUUAGUUGUGGUUUUAUAAACUUUAACUUGAUUGAUUAAAGGUAAUUUAUAAAACUGAGGCACAGUAUGAUUUUUAAUAUUUGUUCCAAAUUUAUAUAUUAUUCAACAAUUGAAUCAAAGUAGCUUUGGAAUUACAAUAAAACAAUGUGCAAAUGUUUCUUUGUUGAGAGCUCAUGCAUAUAUUUACAACUUGUUGAACAAUUGAAUCAAAGUGCCUUUGGAUUCACGAUAUAAUAGUGUGCGAAUGUUUAUAUUUUUUGUUGAGCGCACAUGCACAUCAACUAGUCCAUUUAUAUCAAAUGCAGUACUUCAACUUAAUGUUUCAUUUUUUUGGUUAUAUAUACAUAUAUAUUUGAUAAACCUACAAAUUUUUAUCUAUAAAUACCACUCAAUGUCUCCUCGUAGAAUCCUGCUAUGUAUUGUGAUAAUCUCUGCAAUUGUAUUAUGGAGCUAUUAUGGCAAACAUUUGUACUUUAGUUCUUUUUAGGAUCAUUGGGAUUUUGUUGUAUUUUUUGCUUAAAAUCUGCCGUGGUACACGAGGCAGUGAUCAUAGAUUGCUGUAAACACCUGUGCCUAGUGUAGCUUUAAGGUUCCUUAUGUCUGCAGUAUUCUGCUCUGGAUCAGCAUUGAUAUUGGCCUUUGUCAAGAACCGUGCGACUGGCCUUACAUGUUCCUUUGGAGUCUAGAUAUAGUUUUUGAAAAGGAGUCUGAGAUCAUGCAGAGGAUGAAUGUACGGACCAUUACAUCUUAUGGGUUAGAUAUCAAUCUUCUAUCACUUGAAAAUUUGGAUCCACGUUGAGGCUAUUUAUGUAGAGAUUUGGCUUUGGUGCUUCAUCAAAUCAUACUGGAUCAACGACAAGCCACAGUGCAUUAUAAUCAAACUAUUGUUUUAUGUUCGGUCAUGUAACAUCGACCUUACUGGUCACGUGUUUUAUAUUUGGCGACAUCUUCGGGGAUCUGUAUACUGUUGACGAAAUCCUGAAGUUGGUGGUUGUUCUCAACUUCUCCUAUCCUUGAUCAUUGCUAUUGAAAAUUUUCCUCGUUGUUCUGUAGUCAUGGGAAAAAUAUUUGUAUCUGGUUUGUUCUCUACUUCAUUUUUUUAAUUAUAAACAUGCUGAAACAGUUUUUUCCAGAUAUUUUUGUAAAUGUUUUCAUGUAGAUCUUUUGGUGCAGUUUGGCCCAUUAUCGCGCCACUUAUUGUUAGUUUUGGUUUUUUACUACUCUUGUUUGACAACAUAUUGGUUUAUAAUUGGUUCUCAGAAUUCGGUUUCGUCGUUAUAUCUUGCGAAUCAGAUAUUUUGGGAAGAUAUGAUGGAUUAUCAGUUUGAUCCUCCUGGUUUGUAAGUUAAUUGAUUGAAUAUUGUUUAGAUAAAAUAUUAAUUAAUUCUCAGGGAGGACCAUAUGAUCUGAAAUUGAAUAUUCAUUUAAUAAUUGACUGUUUAAUGUUCCUAGUCUUGUGUGCUCGACAAGUGUAUGAUUCAACUCACUUUUAGAACAUCCGUUUUAUUGAAGAAGUUUGUUAUAUUGAGGAGUUACUACUGUUUUUUCCUUCUCAUUGUGCUCCUUCAUUUUACCUUUAUUAAUUUCGAAAAUCCUUUUUCUUGAUUUGUGGUUUUACAUCUAAAUAAUUUAAUUUCAUGAAGUAUUUUACAAUAUUUUGGCUUGGUAUGCAACCUUCUCAAGGAUACAAUUGAUCCACUAGCUCGAAUCGGAACGAGCGCCCAAUUGCUGUUGCAUAUGGGAAGUUGGUGGUUCGAAUCCACCUGGAUCCGCAAACACAUGUGACAAUAAAAUUUACUCGCCUUUUUUAAGAACAAUAUAAGCUGUGUAUCUUCAUGGGAUAAAGUCCAUAGAAAAAAAAAAAUAGCUUAUACAUUCAAAUGGGUUUCAGUCUCCAAGAAAACUGAUGAAAUCCAUGUAGCUAUUGAGAUAUUGGGAUAUCCAUUUUAAGAACAAUUUGUAUGAUCUGAUUUAUUAUUUUUUUGAUCUGACAGCGUUGUACAUCUUUUUUCCUUUAAAUUUUUGUGAAAUCCAGAGACUUGGCUGAUAGGAUAUGGUUUUUUUUAACAGUUGAAGGGUGUGGCGACUACAGCAUCUGUGGAGAUACACCAGCUGGUCCUCUAGCUUGGAUUUCAGAGCAAUUAUAGUUCUGGAGUUUUGAUUGCCUAUGACAUUGAUAAAUGUUAGGAUCACUCACUUCUUUUUAUGAUUUUGCAGUUUUCUAUAAUGAACUUUUUUAUCCUGCCUGUUAAACGUUGAGAGAUUUAAAACUAAAAUAUCCAAUGUCUAAAAACACCUAAUCUUACUCCUUUCAAGAGUAGUGGGACUUGAAUACAACCACCAAGGAAGCGCAUUUGUUUAGGGAUAUCAGUUUAGCGAUGUCCUGAUGUUUCAUAGUUCUUAGGACAUUUGGGAUUAAAAAACUAAAAUAAUAGGGAAUUUUAUAAUUUCUUUAGUUUUCAAUGUCCUGAUGAUUCCACCUAAUCUACUUUUUUUAAUAUAAUUUAGUUUUUAAUUUGCAACUCAUUUCUAACUUCAAUACAUCUCUGCAGCCAAAUCCCCUUUAGCACCGAUGCAGCAAUAGCACGGCACUGAGCUUCUACGUUUUCUUGUUAUUGUUACAAUUCACUGCAGA